RNAcentral lists this ribosomal RNA (417 nucleotides) under uncultured bacterium. Its description in RNAcentral is "bacterial SSU rRNA". It matches the Rfam family "Bacterial small subunit ribosomal RNA", at positions 362 to 776 of the family's 1533-position model. The record is from RNAcentral.
UAUUGGUCAAUGGGCGAUGGCCUGAACCAGCCAGGUAGCGUGAAGGCUGACUGCCCUAUGGGUUGUAAACUUCUUUUAUAAAGGAAUAAAGUCGGGUAUGCAUACCCGUUUGCAUGUACUUUAUGAAUAAGGAUCGGCUAACUCUGUCCCAGCAGCUGCGGUAAUACGGAGGAUCCGAGCGUUAUCCGGAUUUAUUGGGUUUAAAGGGAGCGUAGAUGGAUGUUUAAGUCAGUUGUGAAAGUUUGCGGCUCAACCGUAAAAUUGCAGUUGAUACUGGAUGUCUUGAGUGCAGUUGAGGCAGGCGGAAUUCGUGGUGUAGCGGUGAAAUGCUUAGAUAUCACGAAGAACACCGAUUGCGAAGGCAGCCUGCUAAGCUGCAACUGACAUCGAGGCUCGAAAGUGUGGGUAUCAAACAGG